GACACCAUUCAGCUCAUGGCCAGCUCUCCAGAGACGCACCAGGUUCAUUCCCAGAAGCGCUUCUGUAGCUGCCUUUGAGCAACCGUGCUUACCAAAGAUUUUUCUAUAAAGUUUAGAGCAAGAAGAGAGAGAGAAGUGCUUGAUGUGUCGGGGGCAGACAUAUUAGCCAAGUCCAUCACUAACUCCCAGGUAGAGGUUCUGGAAAACUGUGGCCAUUCAGUGGUGAUGGAGAGACCGAGGAAGACAGCCAAGCUCGUCGUCGACUUUUUAGCUUCUGUGCACAACCCAGACAACAACAAGAAGCUGAACUGAGGCCGCUGCCACGGCCUGCAUUGUUGCACACAGCGUCUGCUCCCAUCCCCAAAACCUGACACAGUAACCACUCUCAGGGAUCCUGCCCCAAAUGCUGUCGGAGCACCAACGUCCCUGAGGAAACCAGUUGCCUAUCCCAGUAUCCUUGGUUCCAUAGAGCAUCAGGGGCCGCAAGGAACUCUCCAAGAUCCUUUUUUUCAAAAUAGAAACCUAAAUAGAAAAAAAGACAACAACAAACCACACCUAGCCAUGAAGCCUACCAGAGUCUUCACGCCACUGGCAAGCCAGUGCUAAGCAGUCACCCCGGACCGUUAUCUUCAAGGACACUUUCUUUAAGACAUUCCUCACACAUUAAACUUGAUCUCUUUUUGUUGUUGUUACUUCAGAUGUAUCCCCUGCAUGGCCAGUGGCCUUCUC
This 729-nucleotide long non-coding RNA is filed under the name Rattus norvegicus (Norway rat). RNAcentral's name for it is "long non-coding RNA NONRATT010784". Lineage: Eukaryota; Metazoa; Chordata; Mammalia; Rodentia; Muridae. The record is from RNAcentral.